GAUGAACGCUGGCGGCGUGCCUAAUACAUGCAAGUCGAGCGAACAGACGAGGAGCUUGCUCCUCUGAUGUUAGCGGCGGACGGGUGAGUAACACGUGGAUAACCUACCUAUAAGACUGGGAUAACUUCGGGAAACCGGAGCUAAUACCGGAUAACAUGUUGAACCGCAUGGUUCAACAGUGAAAGACGGUCUUGCUGUCACUUAUAGAUGGAUCCACGCCGCAUUAGCUAGUUGGUAAGGUAACGGCUUACCAAGGCAACGAUGCGUAGCCGACCUGAGAGGGUGAGCGGCCACACUGGAACUGAGACACGGUCCAGACUCCUACGGGAGGCAGCAGUAGGGAAUCUUCCGCAAUGGGCGAAAGCCUGACGGAGCAACGCCGCGUGAGUGAAGAAGGUCUUCGGAUCGUAAAACUCUGUUAUUAGGGAAGAACAAAUGUGUAAGUAACUAUGCACGUCUUGACGGUACCUAAACAGAAAGCCACGGCUAACUACGUG
This 497-nucleotide ribosomal RNA is filed under the name uncultured bacterium. RNAcentral's name for it is "partial 16S ribosomal RNA". It matches the Rfam family "Bacterial small subunit ribosomal RNA", at positions 28 to 507 of the family's 1533-position model. The record is from RNAcentral.